Long non-coding RNA from Erigeron canadensis, 1058 nucleotides. RefSeq lists it as uncharacterized. The transcript is spliced from 5 exons. The record is from RefSeq and is a predicted model, not a curated record. NCBI's taxonomy places the organism in Eukaryota, Viridiplantae, Streptophyta, Magnoliopsida, Asterales, Asteraceae.
CAAAUACAUCAUCUCCAAUUGAAGCAUUGCGGGUACACAAAUAGUUACAUACUGUAUAAUCCAUCAUUAAUCCACCAUAUUUUUUUCUUUUUCAAAUCAACCCACCAUCCAUUUCACACUUAUCACUCAUCCCCUCUGCCGUGAAUAAUUAGUUACUGUUAUAAAAGAAAAUAAAACAGAGAAAACCAUAUAAAUACCAUCACCAACCAUUUACUCUCAAUAAUUAUUUCCUCGCCAGCCUAUCUACCCUCGCCGUAAAUUAAACACGCAUAGUGCCUCUUCUCUCUGCGGAAAAAUACACACCCGCCACUUUUGUUACAAACCACCGCUAGCCUUCUCCGUUUUCUCGCCGGAAAAAGACCCAAUUUUAUUUAGGUUGGUGGCCUUCUUGCUCGAUAUUUGGGGUGAAGUUUUGGUAACACGGCCAAUAAUUUUUACCAGAGGGUAUCGAGUUUGAAAGGUCCUCCAAUAAGUUGGACUAGAAGUUUACCAUAGAGUUAAAGCAUCUUGCACAUGAUGACUCAUUUGUUGCUACCGAGUGGUGCAGAUAUACCUUCAAGGUGUGAGGUUUCACAUGAUGCAUUGGCAAAUAUCAUUUUAUGGCUGGCCAGGUUUAUUGAAGCUCAUAUAUGGGUUUUUUCGAGUAGGAAGGAAUAGAAGUAGCUUGUACAAGUAAAGUUGUAUGUUAUUUGUGGUGAAAUAAAUCUGCUCGAGACUUUGGAACAUGGCGAUAUUAUGAAUUUUUGUACUUGGUCGAUGCUACUAAGAGGAACAUCAAUUUUCUUAACACUUAACAGUAUGCUUACUUCUCGUACUCUUAAACGGUAAUCAGGUAAUCAGGUGAACUCAAGACAAGAUGUAUGAUUUGAUAGAUUGUUGGACUCGGGCUUAGACUUACAUAGAUCAAGGAUUCACAUGCCCUUCUUUUGCAUUAUGUUUAGGAUCGAUCGCCAUCUUUUAGAUUGUUUUGUAAACUUGUGAUGGCUACUUGCUCCUUAUGCAUUUUGUGUUUGUACUUGUCUUAAACUUAUUGAAUUCACCGAAUUCAUUUAUUUUCA